AACGAACGCUGGCGGCAUGCCUAACACAUGCAAGUCGAACGAGACCUUCGGGUCUAGUGGCGCACGGGUGCGUAACGCGUGGGAACCUGCCCUUAGGUUCGGAAUAACUCCCCGAAAGGGGUGCUAAUACCGGAUAAUGUCUUCGGACCAAAGAUUUAUCGCCUGUGGAUGGGCCCGCGUUGGAUUAGCUAGUUGGUAGGGUAAAAGCCUACCAAGGCGACGAUCCAUAGCUGGUCUGAGAGGAUGAUCAGCCACAAUGGGACUGAGACACGGCCCAGACUCCUACGGGAGGCAGCAGUUGGGAAUAUUGGACAAUGGGCGAAAGCCUGAUCCAGCAAUGCCGCGUGAGUGAUGAAGGCCUUAGGGUUGUAAAGCUCUUUUACCCGGGAUGAUAAUGACAGUACCGGGAGAAUAAGCACCGGCUAACUCCGUG
This 433-nucleotide ribosomal RNA is filed under the name uncultured bacterium. RNAcentral describes it as "partial 16S ribosomal RNA". It matches the Rfam family "Bacterial small subunit ribosomal RNA", at positions 29 to 507 of the family's 1533-position model. The record is from RNAcentral.